RNAcentral lists this ribosomal RNA (353 nucleotides) under Phomopsis sp. GUf-1. Its description in RNAcentral is "eukaryotic LSU rRNA". It matches the Rfam family "Eukaryotic large subunit ribosomal RNA", at positions 1 to 364 of the family's 3401-position model. The record is from RNAcentral. Lineage: Eukaryota; Fungi; Ascomycota; Sordariomycetes; Diaporthales; Diaporthaceae.
GACCUCGGAUCAGGUAGGAAUACCCGCUGAACUUAAGCAUAUCAAUAAGCGGAGGAAAAGAAACCAACAGGGAUUGCCCUAGUAACGGCGAGUGAAGCGGCAACAGCUCAAAUUUGAAAUCUGGCUUCGGCCCGAGUUGUAAUUUGCAGAGGAUGUUUCUGGCGCGGUGCCUUCCGAGUUCCCUGGAACGGGACGCCACAGAGGGUGAGAGCCCCGUAUGAGUCGGACACCAAGCCUGUGUGAAACUCCUUCAACGAGUCGAGUAGUUUGGGAAUGCUGCUCUAAAUGGGAGGAAAUCUCUUCUAAAGCUAAAACCCGCAGAGACCGAUAGCGCACAAGUAGAGGUCGGAAGA